This 249-nucleotide ribosomal RNA is filed under the name uncultured bacterium. RNAcentral describes it as "partial 16S ribosomal RNA". It matches the Rfam family "Bacterial small subunit ribosomal RNA", at positions 524 to 776 of the family's 1533-position model. The record is from RNAcentral.
UACAGAGGUCCCGAGCGUUGUUCGGAUUCACUGGGCGUAAAGGUGCGUAGGUGGCCUAAAAGUUUGAUGUGAAAGCUCAGGGCUUAACCCUGAAAUGGCAUUGAAUACUGUUGGGCUGGAGGUUGGAGGGGGACUGGAAUUCUUGGUGUAGCAGUGAAAUGCGUAGAUAUCAAGAGGAACACCAGUGGCGAAGGCGAGUCCCUGGACAACACCUGACACUGAGGCACGAAAGCUAGGGGAGCAAACAGG